GACGAACGCUGGCGGCGUGCUUAACACAUGCAAGUCGAACGGAAAGGCCCUGCUUUUGUGGGGUGCUCGAGUGGCGAACGGGUGAGUAACACGUGAGUAACCUGCCCUUGACUUUGGGAUAACUUCAGGAAACUGGGGCUAAUACCGGAUAGGAGCUCCUGCUGCAUGGUGGGGGUUGGAAAGUUUCGGCGGUUGGGGAUGGACUCGCGGCUUAUCAGCUUGUUGGUGGGGUAGUGGCUUACCAAGGCUUUGACGGGUAGCCGGCAUGAGAGGGUGACCGGCCACAUUGGGACUGAGAGACGGCCCAGACUCCUACGGGAGGCAGCAGUGGGGAAUAUUGCACAAUGGGCGGCAGCCUGAUGCAGCAACGCCGCGUGCGGGAUGACGGCCUUCGGGUUGUAAACCGCUUUCGCCUGUGACGAAGCGUGAGUGACGGUAAUGGGUAAAGAAGCACCGGCUAACUACGUG
Molecule: ribosomal RNA, 468 nt
Filed under: uncultured bacterium
Lineage: Bacteria
Description: partial 16S ribosomal RNA
Rfam family: Bacterial small subunit ribosomal RNA
Source: RNAcentral